Molecule: long non-coding RNA, 2665 nt
Organism: Rhincodon typus (whale shark)
Lineage: Eukaryota; Metazoa; Chordata; Chondrichthyes; Orectolobiformes; Rhincodontidae
Exons: 6
Source: RefSeq, a predicted model, not a curated record
GGCAAGCAUCACACAUAUCUUCUUCACCUGUUUCCUGUUACUUCCGGCCGAGUAUCUCCAUUCUUUCUAAGAUCAUUGACAUUUCUCUGGUACUUUGACCAAGUAUCUCCUCUUCACAGCUACUGAAGUUAUAACGAAAACGAGAGAAAAGACACAAUCCAUUUACCUCAACGAUAAUCUCAUUCAAGAUCAAUUGCUAUUCUCAUGGGCACCAGCCAAGACCUUUGAAACCUUACAUAUCCACAAGAGCUGAGGGUGAAAAAUACCUUCAUCAAUAACAAUAAACACCCUUUUCAAAUGAGACAAAGGCCGAGUGUGGUGCGACUCUCUUCCCACACACACUUGAAAUCAGGACAACUGUGGCUCUUUACAUCUGAAAAUAAUUUUACGCCCCUUAGACCUCCCGCCCGCCACCUAGUGAUGAGAAAAGAGCCGAGUUCCAGCAUUUAUACAUAUAUAGUUCAAUACCAAUGAUGGGAUGCCUCCGAAAUACCUGCCAGGAUCUGACGGAUUUGCCAGGUCGCAUUAAUUUUUUCGGAUGUUCAACCACUUGAGAUCCGAUCUCACUGCUCCUCCAACACGCUAAAGACGGCAUUGCAUGUUAAAAUGCACAAAAGACAUAAGGAAUGUGAUUGUGUUUUGCCUCUGAAUAAUAAUUUUACUGUACCAAUUUCAUUAACACUUUUCACUGUAUUUUCCUGGAUAUAUGUGACGACAAAUCAUUCAUCCAUUCAUUCAAUUAAUUUGUUAUGGAUUCUCUGGCUGUCUUUAAUAUAAAGAUAAAGUAAAUCGUAAUAUUUCCGUUAUCAUCUACGAUUAUACAAUAUGUGCAUUUGAUGAGAUGUUGCAACAUUACGGUAAAACAUCUCCAGAUUCGCCGGCAUUGUCAAAUGGACUUUAGGAAUCCUGCAUGUGGUGCAAUUGUUCCUUUCCAUCUUCAUGUUUUGAGUCAAAGUCGCAUGAAAAAAAUUAACUGACGUUUCCAACAAUCAACAGCACUUUUACUCAUUAUAUCAAGACGUGCAAUCUCUUUUUGAAUUUUUGGUGCGAACAAUUGCAAAUAAAUGUUAAAAGUCAAGCUAAAAGCACUGUUAGUAUGAAAGUAACUCAUUUUCUGUGGUGUCGCUGUGGUGAGUUCCAAUCUUUUAAGUAGUUCAAAUGUAAGUUUGAAAAUAAUGACAACGGACAGCAUCUCUGCCAAGUUUUUGCUUAAAGGAGUCACUGGAAUUCUGACGCUUUCGUAUCCUGAGAAAUGAAGAGCACACUGCAGCAACAAAAUGUUUGUUUACAAUUCAUACGAUUCCGAGAGUGGCUAAAGUUAAAGUACUGGUGGAUAGUCAGUCUUGCAUUAGGUGCGGAAUAAGUCAAAGUCACAUUUUAAAAGUGCUCGUUGCUUUCGAAACAUGUAUCAAAGUUUUCAGUGUGAGCCUUGCAUUAAGUUAGCCACCGAACAGGAGAGUUCUGUGGAUGCUGGCAGAGGUUCCGCGCACAGUUUCCCUGUCACUGACUUCCGUGCAACCUGCUGUCAAGCAGGGUCCGUCGUGUAACUGUAGUAACCUGCAUCACAUUCCAUCUAAGACCAUCAGAGACCUUUCAUCGCACAUUAUUCUAAUUUGAAUCUUCUUCCCGUCCAAAAAUACGCUACAUGAUAUUUGCAACAACAACAAAAAAAAAUCCACUAAAAGACUGCUGGAAUGUAUUUAACACUUUUAAAACAUGUCACAAAGAAAAUGGUGUCCAGAAUGCAUCAAUUCAACUGUAGUUACACAAAAGAAAGGCAAGAUGGCAAAGGUUCGGCGUUGUUUUUAACCUGUUGUUUUUAAUCUAAUUAUUUACAUUUAGCACUGACGGACAGGAAUAUAGCAAUACUCGUGAUUACUUGGUUACCUCAAAAGUAUCGUUAGAUACGGAAAUAAACUAAUAGUAACAUGUUUGAUUUGGCAUAUAAUGUAGAAAUCAAGCGUUUGUGACAAUAUUAAUAGGGAAUACAGCCAUCAUGUUCUUGCACUAUGCCACAAAUGAUAAAAUCUACUGAGAGAAUUUAUCAAUGAAAUUUAUCUAUUUGUGGGGAAAUUUAUAGUAUUUCAAAAAUGUUAUUCUUACACGAAAUAAAACAGAUAUGAUUUGCGUCUAAUUUUAUCCCGAAAGGCGCUAUUGAUUGCACAGGGUCUUGAAAAAAAAUGAAGUAGCUGGUUAAUAUUUAUUUUCGUGACUUGUUGGGAAAAUACUAACUUAUACAAUCAGCAUUUUUAUGAAACCAUGUUACGAAUGAUGCGUUGUGUAAAUCAUGUGAAGUUCUAACUGGAAUUCCGCGUGUCUUUUUCUUAACUGUUUUGCACCUGACUGACAACAAAGUGAACAACUAAGUGUCAAUUAUUUUUGUUUAUAGAGAAUUGUCAAAUCUCUUUGACGUAUUCCUGGUGAUAUUCUCACAUGGCCUUCCGUUUCCAAGCCUGUCAAUCCUUCUCCAACUCUAAUACUUAUAAAACAAAAAUGUUCAAGGAAAUUGUAGGAAAAAAGUCCACCUAUGAUGGUUCUCUUGGGUAUCUCUGUGCAGGGGCUCUAUCUUUAAUUCCAGGAAAUUCUGGGGAAUACUAAAAUAUUGGCAGCCCUCGUAUUUGCAUCUUUAUUUGAGACAUGUAUAAAACCUUAUCUCAAGUUGCGU